GACGAACGCUGGCGGCGUGCCUAAUACAUGCAAGUAGAACGCACAGUUUAUACCGUAGCUUGCUACACCAUAGACUGUGAGUUGCGAACGGGUGAGUAACGCGUAGGUAAUCUGCUUGGGAGCAGGGGAUAACUAUUGGAAACGAUAGCUAAUACCGCAUAAUAUUGAUUAUUGCAUGAUAAUUGAUUGAAAGAUGCUAUUGCAUCACUACCAGAUGGACCUGCGUUGUAUUAGCUAGUAGGUGAGGUUACGGCUCAACUAGGCGACGGUACAUAGCCGAACUGAGAGGGUGAUCGGCCCAACUGGGAAUGGGACACGGCCCAGAAUCCUACGGGAGGCAGCAGUAGGGAAUCUUUGGGAAUAGACGAAAGUCUGACCGAGCAACGCCGCGGGAGUGAAGAAGGGUCUCGGAUCGUAAAGAUCUGUUGUAAGAGAAGAACGGGUGUGAGAGUGGAAAGUUCACGCUGUGACGGUAUCUAAUCAGAAAGGGACGGCUAACUACGUG
RNAcentral lists this ribosomal RNA (505 nucleotides) under uncultured bacterium. Its description in RNAcentral is "partial 16S ribosomal RNA". It matches the Rfam family "Bacterial small subunit ribosomal RNA", at positions 28 to 507 of the family's 1533-position model. The record is from RNAcentral.